Molecule: ribosomal RNA, 497 nt
Filed under: uncultured bacterium
Lineage: Bacteria
Description: partial 16S ribosomal RNA
Rfam family: Bacterial small subunit ribosomal RNA
Source: RNAcentral
GAUGAACGCUGGCGGCGUGCCUAAUACAUGCAAGUCGAGCGAACAGACCAGGAGCUUGCUCCUUCGACGUUAGCGGCGGACGGGUGAGUAACACGUAGGUAACCUACCUAUAAGACUGGGAUAAUUUCGGGAAACCGGAGCUACUACCGGAUAAUAUUUCGAACUGCAUGGUUCGAUAGUGAAAGAUGGCUUUUCUAUCACUUAUAGAUGGACCUGCCCCGUAUUAGCUAGUUGGUAAGGUAACUGCUUACCAAGGCAACGAUACGUAGCCGACCUGAGAGGGUGGACCGCCAGCCUGGCAGUGAGACAGGGUCGAGACACCGACGGGGGGACACGGUAGAGAAUCCUACGCGAGGGAGGAGUGCCUGACGGAGCGACGCGGCGUGAGUGAUGAAGGUCCUCGGAUCGUAAAACGCUGUUAUUAGGAAAGAUCAAACAUGUAAGUAGCUGUGCACGUAUUGACGGUACCUAAUCAGAAAGCCACGGCUAACUACGUG